GCAGUUUCAUAGAAACUGCUAUAAUUAUGAAUGGGUUAAGCCUUCCCCCUAAUCCUCUAGUGGCUGUCUCAUUGACAGCCACUGGAGGCGCUUGCGUGCUUCUCACUGUGAUUUUCACAGUGAGAGCACGCAAGCGUCCAUAGGAAAGCAUUGUAAAUGCUUUCCUAUGCGACGGGCUGAAUGCGCGCGCAGCUCUUGCCGCGCGUGCGCAUUCAGCCGGCGGGGCGGAACGGAGGCGGAGAGGAGGAGGAGAGCUCUCCGCCCAGCGCUGGAAAAAGGUAAGUUUUACCCCUUUUCCCCUUCCAGAGCCGGGCGGGAGGGGGUCCCUGAGGGUGGGGGCACCCUCAGGGCACUAUAGUGCCAGGAAAACGAGUAUGUUUUCCUGGCACUAUAGUGG
This 397-nucleotide long non-coding RNA is filed under the name Pelobates cultripes (western spadefoot toad). The record is from RNAcentral. Lineage: Eukaryota; Metazoa; Chordata; Amphibia; Anura; Pelobatidae.